This 253-nucleotide ribosomal RNA is filed under the name uncultured bacterium. RNAcentral's name for it is "partial 16S ribosomal RNA". It matches the Rfam family "Bacterial small subunit ribosomal RNA", at positions 524 to 776 of the family's 1533-position model. The record is from RNAcentral.
UACGGGGGGUGCUAGCGUUGUCCGGAAUCACUGGGCGUAAAGGGCGCGUAGGUGGUUUGAUAAGGGUGUGGUGAAAGCCCGGGGCUCAACCCCGGGUCUGCCGUGCCGACUGUCAAACUCGAGGGCUGUAGAGGCAGACGGAAUUCCGGGUGUAGCGGUGAAAUGCGCAGAGAUCGGGAGGAACACCAAUGGCGAAAGCAGGUAACUGGACUAUUACUGACACUCAGCUGCGAAAGCUAGGGGAGCAAACAGG